GACGAACGCUGGCGGCGUGCUUAACACAUGCAAGUCGAACGCUGAAGCUUGGUGCUUGCACUGGGUGGAUGAGUGGCGAACGGGUGAGUAAUACGUGAGUAACCUGCCCUUGACUCUGGGAUAAGCCUGGGAAACUGGGUCUAAUACUGGAUACGACAUGUCACCGCAUGGUGGUGUGUGGAAAGGGUUUUACUGGUUUUGGAUGGGCUCACGGCCUAUCAGCUUGUUGGUGGGGUAAUGGCUCACCAAGGCGACGACGGGUAGCCGGCCCGAGAGGGUGACCGGCCACACUGGGACUGAGACACGGCCCAGACUCCUACGGGAGGCAGCAGUGGGCAAUAUUGCACAAUGGGCGGAAGCCUGAUGCAGCGACGCCGCGUGAGGGAUGACGGCCUUCGGGUUGUAAACCUCUUUCAGCACGGAAGAAGCGAAAGUGACGGUACGUGCAGAAGAAGCGCCGGCUAACUACGUG
This 472-nucleotide ribosomal RNA is filed under the name uncultured bacterium. Its description in RNAcentral is "partial 16S ribosomal RNA". It matches the Rfam family "Bacterial small subunit ribosomal RNA", at positions 28 to 507 of the family's 1533-position model. The record is from RNAcentral.